Molecule: ribosomal RNA, 406 nt
Filed under: uncultured Glomeromycotina
Lineage: Eukaryota; Fungi; Glomeromycota
Description: SSU rRNA
Rfam family: Eukaryotic small subunit ribosomal RNA
Source: RNAcentral
UUUACUGAUUCCUCCUUCUUGACGAACCGUGAUGUCAUUAAUUUGGUGUUGCGGGAAAUCAGGACUGUUACUUUGAAAAAAUUAGAGUGUUUAAAGCAGGCUAACGCUUGAAUACAUUAGCAUGGAAUAAUGAAAUAGGACGUUAAUCCUAUUUUGUUGGUUUCUAGGAUCGACGUAAUGAUUAAUAGGGAUAGUUGGGGGCAUUAGCAUUCAAUUGUCAGAGGUGAAAUUCUUGGAUUUAUUGAAGACUAACUACUGCGAAAGCAUUUGCCAAGGAUGUUUUCACUAAUCAAGAACGAAAGUUAGGGGAUCGAAGACGAUCAGAUACCGUCGUAGUCUUAACCAUAAACUAUGCCGACUAGGGAUCGGAUGAUGUUAUUUUUAAUGACUCAUUCGGCGCCUUACG